RNAcentral lists this long non-coding RNA (232 nucleotides) under Elaeis guineensis (African oil palm). RNAcentral describes it as "long non-coding RNA (EGUI_LNC027920)". The record is from RNAcentral. Lineage: Eukaryota; Viridiplantae; Streptophyta; Magnoliopsida; Arecales; Arecaceae.
GUAUCGACUGGACUUAUGAUAAAUUAUGAGAAUGAAAUACAAUUGAAUUACUAAAAUUUUAAAUUUAUGUUGAGAUUUAGCUAAUCCUAAAAUAGAGCAAAACAAAAUUAACAAAAGCAAGAGUUGGAAGGGCUAAAGAAUAGGCAUAACAAGCCAAGCAUGCAUUCUCAUAUUUAUGUAUCAUGUAAGUAUAGCAUUAAUUAGUGUGUACCCAAUUUUAUAGGAGGGGAAG